CAGCCCAAGAAAUGCAAUCUUAAAACAAAGGCCAUGGGGUAGGGGAAAAAAAGGCCAGGAGUCUUUUAAGCCCAGCAUGUAGAGACACACUCUUAAGUUAAAAUUUAACAGGCACAAUU
Molecule: non-coding RNA, 119 nt
Organism: Suncus etruscus (white-toothed pygmy shrew)
Lineage: Eukaryota; Metazoa; Chordata; Mammalia; Eulipotyphla; Soricidae
Product: small Cajal body-specific RNA 1
Exons: 1
Source: RefSeq, a predicted model, not a curated record